ACAUUGCGCUAAUAAUACCUUUCGUUCACUCUUCACUUCAGUAAAAACUUCACUUAGUAAAAAAUGUGAAUGCAGGACCUUUACUGUGCCGUAUUAAUAAUUUUACUAUUAAUAGUUUUACUUCAGAAAAAAGUUUAGAGUAUUUCUUCUACCACUGCCAAUACCAACAUAACCAGUUAGAGAGGACAGUGUUUACCUGGGACCCCAAAUCAGUAAAUCUUCCCCUGAAUGUUAUUAGAAGUUCUGUUUGUUUUAGUAAAAGCUGCAUUAACCUGUUUUGGCCACCAGGAGGCAGAACAGCUUCAUAACAGUCUGACAGACACACAACUUGAAGUUUCAACGCUUUUACAGAUGCUAACAUGUUAGCAAAAUACUGCGCACAUUACUUACAUAUCCAGCAGACAUGCAGCGACGUAAUCAUCAUAUUUGAGUCGUGUUUCUGCUCCACCUGAUGAAUUUGCAGGUUUCUCCCAGCGGGUGGCGAUCAUGUGACAUUACUUCCUGCUACGGCUCUCCUGCAUGCAACAAGUGCACACUGUUAAGUUAUAUUGUAAAAACUUGAACAAAGCUGCAUCUUGAAAACCAGAACAAGCAGUAUGACAGUGAUCAGUGAAAAACAACGAAGGAAUCUUGGAUCUGACGAUGAUGAAACUCGUGUUCCUGAUUUAUGAGAAGCCGAUACUGUCCACAAUGAAGGGAACGGAUUCUCCUCACAAAACAGUUCAAGGCAAGUGAAGUACAAAAAGUGGCUGCGUGAUCAAGAAUAUGGCUGCAACUAACGAUUGUUUUCAUCAUUGUUUUUCAUUUUCUUGAUUAAUCAAUUAUUUGUGUUCACAGAACCGAAGCUUAUUCUUCAAAAUGUCUGGUUUUGUCCAACCAUCGUCCAAACAGUCAAAAACUUAUGAAACAAGAAAAUAUACACAUUUGAAAAGCUGGAUUUUUGCCCUUUUUGCUCAAAAAUAGUGCUUAAACAAUUAUUUGAUCAUCAAAAUUAUUGCCAGUUAAUUUUCUGUUGAUCGACUAACCGUUGCAGCUCUAAUCAAAAACAAAAUCAAGAAGUCAAGACUGAUGUUGAUCAGUGUUUGUUGUUUCCACCGCUCACAAUAAAAGAGUAUUAUGCAUUUAAUAAUUACUUUAUACAAGUAUAUAGAUGUUUUACAGCAGGUUAUAAUAAGAUGAAUGAUGCCAGUGUGAAGAUCUGCGCACUGAAAGAGGAACUGUGACAUUAAUUUGUAGUUGUAGCCCUGCGACAUAAACUCCAAUCACUUAAUGUGUCAACCAACAACACACUUAUGAGAGAUAAGCAAUAAAUAUUACAAAUAAUAUAAAUAUUGAGUAAAUGUUUUAAAAUGGUUUGCAGACUUAAAUAAAACACGCUGUCAACAACAUUUAAAUCAUGUUCAGGGUGUGAAACACAAACACCUCUCAGACUCAGCUUUGCUGCUUCGUCUGAGUCUCGUCCAACCAAGUCCGAUCUAGUGCUUGAGGGAAAAUCCGGUUCAUGUCACAAGUCAUCAUGAGCUAAUUUUAAGUCAGUUGCAAGUCUGUCUUCUCACUGAAUGCAGUCAUUUUUUAGCAAAAAUGCCAAAUAUUUGAUAGUUUCAGGUUCUCAAAUUUGAGAUCUUGCCACUUUUCACCGUCUUACAUCGUAGGAAACAGAAAAUCUUUGAGUUUUGGACUGUUGGACAAAAUAAGACAUUUAAUGAAAUCAUCUGGGCUCUAGGAAAUUGUG
Thunnus maccoyii (southern bluefin tuna) is the source of this 1732-nucleotide long non-coding RNA. RefSeq lists it as uncharacterized. The record is from RefSeq and is a predicted model, not a curated record. NCBI's taxonomy places the organism in Eukaryota, Metazoa, Chordata, Actinopteri, Scombriformes, Scombridae. The transcript has 3 exons.